Molecule: ribosomal RNA, 253 nt
Filed under: uncultured bacterium
Lineage: Bacteria
Description: partial 16S ribosomal RNA
Rfam family: Bacterial small subunit ribosomal RNA
Source: RNAcentral
UACGUAGGGUGCAAGCGUUAAUCGGAAUUACUGGGCGUAAAGCGUGCGCAGGCGGUUUCGUAAGUCUGUCGUGAAAUCCCCGGGCUUAACCUGGGAAUGGCGAUGGAGACUGCGAGGCUAGAGUUUGGCAGAGGGGGGUAGAAUUCCACGUGUAGCAGUGAAAUGCGUAGAUAUGUGGAGGAACACCGAUGGCGAAGGCAGCCCCCUGGGUCAAAACUGACGCUCAUGCACGAAAGCGUGGGGAGCAAACAGG